AAUGAACGCUGGCGGCAUGCCUAACACAUGCAAGUCGAACGAGACCUUCGGGUCCAGUGGCGCACGGGUGCGUAACGCGUGGGAACCUUCCCUUGGGGUCGGAAUAACUCCCCGAAAGGGGUGCCAAUACCGGAUAAGGUCUUCGGACCAAAGAUUUAUCGCCUUUGGAUGGACCCGCGUUGGAUUAGCUAGUUGGUAGGGUAAAAGCCUACCAAGGCGACGAUCCAUAGCUGGUCUGAGAGGAUGAUCAGCCACACUGAGACUGAGACACGGCCCAGAAUCCUACGCAAGGCAGGAGAGGGGAAUAUUGGACAAUGGGCGGAAGCCUGAUCCAGCAAUGACGCGUAAGUGAUGUAGGCCUUGGAGUUGUAAAGCUCUUUUACCCGGGCUGAUAAUGACAGUACCGGGAGAGUAAGCUCCGGCUAACUCCGUG
Molecule: ribosomal RNA, 433 nt
Filed under: uncultured bacterium
Lineage: Bacteria
Description: partial 16S ribosomal RNA
Rfam family: Bacterial small subunit ribosomal RNA
Source: RNAcentral